GCCAGACUCCUACGGGAGGCAGCAGUGGGGAAUAUUGCACAAUGGGGGAAACCCUGAUGCAGCGACGCCGCGUGAGUGAAGAAGUAUUUCGGUAUGUAAAGCUCUAUCAGCAGGGAAGAAAAUGACGGUACCUGACUAAGAAGCCCCGGCUAACUACGUGCCAGCAGCCGCGGUAAUACGUAGGGGGCAAGCGUUAUCCGGAUUUACUGGGUGUAAAGGGAGCGUAGACGGCAGUGCAAGUCCGGAGUGAAAGCCCGGGGCUCAACCCUGGGACUGCUCUGGAAACUGUAAAGCUGGAGUGCGGGAGGGGCAGGCGGAAUUCCUGGUGUAGCGGUGAAAUGCGUAGAUAUCAGGAGGAACACCGGCGGCGAAGGCGGCCUGCUGGACCGUAACUGACGUUGAGGCUCGAAAGCGUGGGGAGCAAACAGGAUUAGAUACCCCGGUAA
RNAcentral lists this ribosomal RNA (446 nucleotides) under uncultured bacterium. Its description in RNAcentral is "bacterial SSU rRNA". It matches the Rfam family "Bacterial small subunit ribosomal RNA", at positions 330 to 793 of the family's 1533-position model. The record is from RNAcentral.